RNAcentral lists this ribosomal RNA (440 nucleotides) under uncultured bacterium. RNAcentral's name for it is "partial 16S ribosomal RNA". It matches the Rfam family "Bacterial small subunit ribosomal RNA", at positions 338 to 795 of the family's 1533-position model. The record is from RNAcentral.
CCUACGGGAGGCAGCAGUGAGGAAUAUUGCACAAUGGGGGAAACCCUGAUGCAGCGACGCCGCGUGAGUGAAGAAGUAUUUCGGUAUGUAAAGCUCUAUCAGCAGGGAAGAAAAUGACGGUACCUGACUAAGAAGCCCCGGCUAACUACGUGCCAGCAGCCGCGGUAAUACGUCGGGUGCAAGCGUUAUCCGGAUUUACUGGGUGUAAAGGGAGCGUAGACGGCAGAGCAAGUCUGAAGUGAAAGCCCGCGGCCCAACUGCGGGACUGCAUUUGAAACUGCCAGGCUAGAGUGCUGGAGAGGUGAGCGGAAUUCGUGGUGUAGCGGUGAAAUGCGUAGAUAUUAGGAGGAACUCCAGUGGCGAAGGCAGCUUACUAAACUGCCACUGACAUUGAUGCUCGAAAGUGUGGGUAUCAAACAGGAUUAGAUACCCUGGUAGUC